UGCGGGCCCUUGCGGGGGCUGGUUCCAGCAGCAACCGCCGGGCAGGGCCCCUCCCGACCGCGACCUCCUGUCCGCACCGUAGGGCAGCCGGCCGGGCCAGCCUCCCUCACAGGACUACCGAGGAAGAGGUAGGAUUUCACUCUGUCACCCAGGCGGGAGUGCAGUGGUGCGAUCAUAGCGGGGACUACAAGUGUGCACCACAUGCUUGUCUACGAACCUGAAGUAUUCUGAUGCAGUGGAGAGAGUGUAGAACUCUGGAGUGAAGAGAUCUGCCUGGAACCCUGACUCUAUCACUAGAUCAGGACCUGAAGUAGGUGGCUGCCCAUCCAGGUAUUCUACAGGCACUUGCCCGUGAAACCUUCACCACUCCUUGAAUCUGGUUCUGCAAAGUGGGACAGCUGAGACUUAGGCUAAGUGACUUACUGAGGCAGCAGUCAGCACCGUGUGGGACCAGCCCCCAUGCUGUUUCCCAAAUGGAGGCACCUUCCUGCAUACCUUGGGCGUGAUCUGUAACAGCUCAGAAAGCUUGGACACCAGCAGGGUGGCACCUAUAUGGGGAGCACCUGUCCGCACUGACUGCAUUCAAUAAGCGUUCAUUUCAUCACCCUUCACCAUGCUUUGUCACUCCAAGAGAUGGCCCUGGGACUGAGAAGUGGAUGGCAGCUGUGACAGCAGGAGAGGACUGCCUGAGGCUCCCCGGGCAGAGGCUCUGGUGCCAGGUUAGCAGCAGGACCGACGGCAGACCCAGCAGCCAGAGAGUGAAAGGUGGGUAAAUUGAGGCCCAAGGAGAGGAAUGGACUUGCUGUGGACAUUCCAAGAGCCCAGAGGCAACUCAGGCCAAGGCGAGUCUGUCUGUUCUGAAUCUCUUAGGUCAGUUCUGAAUCCAAACAGUAACCGGACAAGCCCAUUCUCAGGAGCUCCUCAGCUCCAUUCCGUGGGGGCUUGGUUACCUGUAACAGGGCCUCAACAGGAGGGUCAUAGACUUGCCCAUUGCUUCCAAGCAACAGGGAGUUGGCAUUGCCCUGCCUCCUGUGGGACUCGCAAACAUAAAAUCUCAGGCUCUCUCAUUCUCACAUCUACAUUACAUAGCACUGACUCUGUGCCGGACACUGUUCUUAGUGCUUUGCAAAUAGUAAUUUAUAUAGUCCUCAUUGACUGGGAAGCUAUAUUAAUUUUGACAUUAUUCCUGAGAAAAGCAUAUCCCUUCCUGGGUUCUGGCCCUGUUAACAGGAAUGUUUUAAAAC
Molecule: long non-coding RNA, 1244 nt
Filed under: Homo sapiens (human)
Lineage: Eukaryota; Metazoa; Chordata; Mammalia; Primates; Hominidae
Description: ADORA2A antisense RNA 1
Source: RNAcentral